CGUUAGUAGUAGCAGAAAGGUUAUUAGGGAUAAGCUUAAUAUCUUAUAUCUAUAUAGGGUAGGGAAUUAGGGUUAUUUAGGAUUAAUAGUGUCUUUAGGUUUUGUAACUAACUAUGUUUUUAUUAUAUUAGUAAGUUAUACAAGGGUAUCUUGAAAUUUUAUUUGUUAGUAAUAAUGGGAGAAUUAGUAGAUUGUAUUUUAGUUUGUAAUUUAGAUCCUUUAUUUAAGGUAAUUCAACACCUGACUAUUGGUAAGGAACUCGGCAAAAAUUUCUUCUAACUGUUUAUCAAAAACAUUUCUUUAAGAGAGGAUUUAAAGUAUAUUCUGCCCCCUGAUUAAGUUAUUAAAGGGCCGCAGUAGCCUGACUGUGCUAAGGUAGCAUAAUCAUUAGGUUUUUAAUUGGGAUCUGGAAUGAAUGAAUGAAUAGGGGGAGUCUGUCUAUCAAUAGUAUCUGAACUUAAAUUUUUAGUAAGAAUGCUAGAAUGGACUAGUGGGACGAUAAGACCCUAUAAAGCUUUACUAGCCUCUAGUUGAAAUUUUUACUACUUUUAUGAAUAGGUUUAGUUUUGCUGGGGCGGUAGCUAGUUAACUUAGUUAAUUUUCUCUUUUUUUGGAUCCAUCUUUGGUGAAAUAAGAUCAAGUUACUUUAGGGAUAACAGCAUAAUAUACCUAUGGAGUUCUAAUCGAAGGGUAUGGUUGUGACCUCGAUGUUGAAUUAACCUUAUUGUAAGGCGAAGAAGCUUUAUGAGUUAGUCUGUUCGACUAUUGAAGGGUUACGUGAUUUGAGUUCAAACCGGUUUAAGCCAGGUUGGUUUCUAUCUACUGGGUUUAAAAAGUUUUUUAGUACGAAAGGACCAAAGACUUUAGAGUUUCUAGUUAAUAUAUUUUUAACUUACUUUAGGUAGAA
Molecule: ribosomal RNA, 907 nt
Filed under: Leiobunum aldrichi
Lineage: Eukaryota; Metazoa; Arthropoda; Arachnida; Opiliones; Sclerosomatidae
Description: 16S ribosomal RNA
Rfam family: Bacterial large subunit ribosomal RNA (bases 488-826)
Source: RNAcentral